RNAcentral lists this ribosomal RNA (490 nucleotides) under uncultured bacterium. RNAcentral describes it as "partial 16S ribosomal RNA". It matches the Rfam family "Bacterial small subunit ribosomal RNA", at positions 30 to 507 of the family's 1533-position model. The record is from RNAcentral.
AUUGAACGCUGGCGGCAGGCCUAACACAUGCAAGUCGAACGGUAACAGGAAACAGCUUGCUGUUUCGCUGACGAGUGGCGGACGGGUGAGUAAUGUCUGGGAAACUGCCUGAUGGAGGGGGAUAACUACUGGAAACGGUAGCUAAUACCGCAUAACGUCGCAAGACCAAAGAGGGGGACCCUCGGGCCUCUUGCCAUCGGAAGUGCCCAGAUGGGAUUAGCUUGUUGGUGGGGUAACGGCUCACCAAGGCGACGAUCCCUAGCUGGUCUGAGAGGAUGACCAGCCACACUGGAACUGAGACACGGUCCAGACUCCUACGGGAGGCAGCAGUGGGGAAUAUUGCACAGUGGGCGCAAGCCUGAUGCAGCCAUGCCGCGUGUAUGAAGAAGGCCUUCGGGUUGUAAAGUACUUUCAGCGGGGAGGAAGGGAGUAAAGUUAAUACCUUUGCUCAUUGACGUUACCCGCAGAAGAAGCACCGGCUAACUCCGUG